GUGGCAGGCCAUGAGGACUCCUGUUAGGUCAGCUGUCCUCCCAGGCCGUGGUCACCGCCUCCCACCUGCCUACCUCUUCCCCCCUCUGAAGGUCUCAGAGAAACACCCAGGAGCCCCCAGAACAUCUCUGAGCCAGAGCUUCAGCAGAGCUAGCUCCUUUCAGUGGCCUUUUCCCAACAUGCUCUGUGUCCCCCUCCCCCAUCGUCUCUGCCUUCUCGUUCCGAAGGCUGCUGGGAUCCUUGGAUGGAAGGCGCUUGGCAGCUCCAUGGGGUUCCCAGGCAGCUGCUGCUCCCCUAGACUCGGAGUGCUGGUAACCUUCGCCCCGAGGCAGCCAUGACCCUUGGGCUUGGAACCAGAACCAUUAAAUUCAUCUCCCUCUUGCUCUCCAAAGGGGGCUGGGCAGGGCUGGAGUCUGGGAGGCAGCUGGACUCCCCACCACCCCGUGGGCCACUCCACUUCUGACUCCCGGCAAGAACAGGGAAACAGCCUGGGGGGAAGCUCUCCGUCCUUCCUGGAGAUGGCCAGUUCACCUGCCUGGGAAACCCAAGCAGCUUCUCCUCUGUCAUCUGCCAGAUUACCCACACCCCCAGCCGACUUUCCUGAGUACUGAAUAUUAAGAUCCGUGCGUUCCCGGACAGGGAGGGGAGAAGCAGAUUCCCGAGGAGACCCAGCCACAGAUGAGUCUCAAAACAGACCAUCCUCAUGGGAAUGUCUGAGAGGCUGCUCUCUGAGAAGGUUUUCAAAAGGAAGCGAAUGAGUUGAGUUGAGUUGAAGUGCUCUGUGCGUUCAGUACGUUCUCUCUGGGAAUAGUUGGAGUAUUUUGAAAUAUUUGAAGACAAAACUAGUCGUAAAGCAUCAAUGCUGGAAGGGGACUUUGAGAACACCGAAUGUAAACCCCUCUCUGUAGAUGAGGAAACCGGAACCCCAUGGGAGGCAGGCUGCAGCUUCACGACGGCACACCUCCUCACCAACACGGGAGGCAGAGCUCCUUUGCCCAGAACCUCCUCACCCAGCGUCCCUCACCUCGGCUCCCAGCUCCAGGAGAGAUUUCUGCCCAGUUGCUAUUUUUAUGCACCUGCUAGGUGUGUCCUUUUUGUAUGUGUCAUUAUGUACAUUUUAAUGACUUAUUUCCCCUAUUAACCUAGAAGCUAGAAAAAAUUGAGUCUUUCGGGUUUCUUCUUGUAAAGCCCAUGUUAAUGACUCAUUACCUAAUGACUUCUAACUACCCGCCUCCUGGCAGCCCCCUCAGGUGUUCUCCAGAACUAGGCACGGUUCAAGUGCUCACUCUGCCACUUUCCAGCUGUGUGAUCGUGGGCAAAUCACUUCCUGCUAGAAGUGGCACCAAGGAGUAGCUGAGUGGCACUAGGGGAAGGUCGGCAUAAUUGUCAUAGCCAACCCCCCAAAACACACAAUGUGUAAAGUAAAACAAUGCAUAUCGAAACCCAGCGUCAGGACGAAUCUCCUGGUACCCCUGCAACCCGAUUAGAACUCAUAAAUUAAAUUGAUUAAAAUUCUGGAGCUGAUGUUGCUCCCUUACUCUCAAUCUCCUCACCUGGAAAAGCAGGGAAACAAUAUCUUACAGGCUUGUUAGGAAAGUUAAGUAAGAUAGUCCGUGUAAAGCACUUAACAUUUGAAAAACAGUUCAAUCUAUGUUAACCCCAGGUCCUGUGACUGGGAUUAGGGAAUCAAUGACAAAUAAAACCUGGUCCCUACACUUGAAUGCUCACAGAUCCAUAGAGGAGGCAGUCAGGCCGUUCAAUGAAGACUGUAUGACACGAUUGAUAGAGUAACAGCAGGAUGAAAAAGACAGCGUGAACCAGAAGAGGGAACAACUAUCUCAAGCUGUUUAAGGAGGUCUGGGAAGAUUUCACAGAGGAUAAAAUGCUUGAGCAAGAACCUGGAGCAUGAUAGGAGUUUCCUGGGCAGGCAUGGGGGUGUCACAUGAGUCAGAAGGAACACCCUAUAAAAACCAGAGGCUUUAAACGUCACGGCACCUUCAAGGUGCGUGAUAGUGAAGUGAGGGAAGUGAGAAAUGGUGGGCAGGGAGGCUGGAGAAAGAGCGUGGAACGGAGGAGAGGGCACGAGCUUUGGAGUCAAGACUU
Long non-coding RNA from Equus asinus (donkey), 2102 nucleotides. The record is from Ensembl. NCBI's taxonomy places the organism in Eukaryota, Metazoa, Chordata, Mammalia, Perissodactyla, Equidae.